This 162-nucleotide ribosomal RNA is filed under the name uncultured bacterium. Its description in RNAcentral is "partial 16S ribosomal RNA". It matches the Rfam family "Bacterial small subunit ribosomal RNA", at positions 355 to 507 of the family's 1533-position model. The record is from RNAcentral.
UGGGGAAUAUUGCACAAUGGGCGCAAGCCUGAUGCAGCCAUGCCGCGUGUAUGAAGAAGGCCUUCGGGUUGUAAAGUACUUUCAGCGGGGGAGGAAGGCGAUAAGGUUAAUAACCUUGUCGAUUGACGUUACCCGCAGAAGAAGCACCGGCUAACCUCCGUG